Molecule: ribosomal RNA, 2902 nt
Filed under: Escherichia coli TW07793
Lineage: Bacteria; Pseudomonadati; Pseudomonadota; Gammaproteobacteria; Enterobacterales; Enterobacteriaceae
Description: bacterial LSU rRNA
Rfam family: Bacterial large subunit ribosomal RNA
Source: RNAcentral
GGUUAAGCGACUAAGCGUACACGGUGGAUGCCCUGGCAGUCAGAGGCGAUGAAGGACGUGCUAAUCUGCGAUAAGCGUCGGUGAGGUGAUAUGAACCGUUAUAACCGGCGAUUUCCGAAUGGGGAAACCCAGUGUGUUUCGACACACUAUCAUUAACUGAAUCCAUAGGUUAAUGAGGCGAACCGGGGGAACUGAAACAUCUAAGUACCCCGAGGAAAAGAAAUCAACCGAGAUUCCCCCAGUAGCGGCGAGCGAACGGGGAGGAGCCCAGAGCCUGAAUCAGUGUGUGUGUUAGUGGAAGCGUCUGGAAAGGCGCGCGAUACAGGGUGACAGCCCCGUACACAAAAAUGCACAUGCUGUGAGCUCGAUGAGUAGGGCGGGACACGUGGUAUCCUGUCUGAAUAUGGGGGGACCAUCCUCCAAGGCUAAAUACUCCUGACUGACCGAUAGUGAACCAGUACCGUGAGGGAAAGGCGAAAAGAACCCCGGCGAGGGGAGUGAAAAAGAACCUGAAACCGUGUACGUACAAGCAGUGGGAGCCUCUUAAUGGGGUGACUGCGUACCUUUUGUAUAAUGGGUCAGCGACUUAUAUUCUGUAGCAAGGUUAACCGAAUAGGGGAGCCGAAGGGAAACCGAGUCUUAACUGGGCGUUAAGUUGCAGGGUAUAGACCCGAAACCCGGUGAUCUAGCCAUGGGCAGGUUGAAGGUUGGGUAACACUAACUGGAGGACCGAACCGACUAAUGUUGAAAAAUUAGCGGAUGACUUGUGGCUGGGGGUGAAAGGCCAAUCAAACCGGGAGAUAGCUGGUUCUCCCCGAAAGCUAUUUAGGUAGCGCCUCGUGAAUUCAUCUCCGGGGGUAGAGCACUGUUUCGGCAAGGGGGUCAUCCCGACUUACCAACCCGAUGCAAACUGCGAAUACCGGAGAAUGUUAUCACGGGAGACACACGGCGGGUGCUAACGUCCGUCGUGAAGAGGGAAACAACCCAGACCGCCAGCUAAGGUCCCAAAGUCAUGGUUAAGUGGGAAACGAUGUGGGAAGGCCCAGACAGCCAGGAUGUUGGCUUAGAAGCAGCCAUCAUUUAAAGAAAGCGUAAUAGCUCACUGGUCGAGUCGGCCUGCGCGGAAGAUGUAACGGGGCUAAACCAUGCACCGAAGCUGCGGCAGCGACACUAUGUGUUGUUGGGUAGGGGAGCGUUCUGUAAGCCUGUGAAGGUGUGCUGUGAGGCAUGCUGGAGGUAUCAGAAGUGCGAAUGCUGACAUAAGUAACGAUAAAGCGGGUGAAAAGCCCGCUCGCCGGAAGACCAAGGGUUCCUGUCCAACGUUAAUCGGGGCAGGGUGAGUCGACCCCUAAGGCGAGGCCGAAAGGCGUAGUCGAUGGGAAACAGGUUAAUAUUCCUGUACUUGGUGUUACUGCGAAGGGGGGACGGAGAAGGCUAUGUUGGCCGGGCGACGGUUGUCCCGGUUUAAGCGUGUAGGCUGGUUUUCCAGGCAAAUCCGGAAAACCAAGGCUGAGGCGUGAUGACGAGGCACUACGGUGCUGAAGCGACAAAUGCCCUGCUUCCAGGAAAAGCCUCUAAGCAUCAGGUAACAUCAAAUCGUACCCCAAACCGACACAGGUGGUCAGGUAGAGAAUACCAAGGCGCUUGAGAGAACUCGGGUGAAGGAACUAGGCAAAAUGGUGCCGUAACUUCGGGAGAAGGCACGCUGAUAUGUAGGUGAAGCGACUUGCUCGUGGAGCUGAAAUCAGUCGAAGAUACCAGCUGGCUGCAACUGUUUAUUAAAAACACAGCACUGUGCAAACACGAAAGUGGACGUAUACGGUGUGACGCCUGCCCGGUGCCGGAAGGUUAAUUGAUGGGGUCAGCGCAAGCGAAGCUCUUGAUCGAAGCCCCGGUAAACGGCGGCCGUAACUAUAACGGUCCUAAGGUAGCGAAAUUCCUUGUCGGGUAAGUUCCGACCUGCACGAAUGGCGUAAUGAUGGCCAGGCUGUCUCCACCCGAGACUCAGUGAAAUUGAACUCGCUGUGAAGAUGCAGUGUACCCGCGGCAAGACGGAAAGACCCCGUGAACCUUUACUAUAGCUUGACACUGAACAUUGAGCCUUGAUGUGUAGGAUAGGUGGGAGGCUUUGAAGUGUGGACGCCAGUCUGCAUGGAGCCGGCCUUGAAAUACCACCCUUUAAUGUUUGAUGUUCUAACGUUGGCCCCUGAUCGGGGUUGCGGACAGUGUCUGGUGGGUAGUUUGACUGGGGCGGUCUCCUCCUAAAGAGUAACGGAGGAGCACGAAGGUUGGCUAAUCCUGGUCGGACAUCAGGAGGUUAGUGCAAUGGCAUAAGCCAGCUUGACUGCGAGCGUGACGGCGCGAGCAGGUGCGAAAGCAGGUCAUAGUGAUCCGGUGGUUCUGAAUGGAAGGGCCAUCGCUCAACGGAUAAAAGGUACUCCGGGGAUAACAGGCUGAUACCGCCCAAGAGUUCAUAUCGACGGCGGUGUUUGGCACCUCGAUGUCGGCUCAUCACAUCCUGGGGCUGAAGUAGGUCCCAAGGGUAUGGCUGUUCGCCAUUUAAAGUGGUACGCGAGCUGGGUUUAGAACGUCGUGAGACAGUUCGGUCCCUAUCUGCCGUGGGCGCUGGAGAACUGAGGGGGGCUGCUCCUAGUACGAGAGGACCGGAGUGGACGCAUCACUGGUGUUCGGGUUGUCAUGCCAAUGGCACUGCCCGGUAGCUAAAUGCGGAAGAGAUAAGUGCUGAAAGCAUCUAAGCACGAAACUUGCCCCGAGAUGAGUUCUCCCUGACUCCUUGAGGGUCCUGAAGGAACGUUGAAGACGACGACGUUGAUAGGCCGGGUGUGUAAGCGCAGCGAUGCGUUGAGCUAACCGGUACUAAUGAACCGUGAGGCUUAACCUU